RNAcentral lists this long non-coding RNA (231 nucleotides) under Setaria viridis. RNAcentral describes it as "long non-coding RNA (SVIR_LNC009974)". The record is from RNAcentral. Lineage: Eukaryota; Viridiplantae; Streptophyta; Magnoliopsida; Poales; Poaceae.
UCCUAUGCAUUUCAAAAACAACACAUGCAUGUCAACAUGUGAAGCAUGUAAAGCUGGGUUUGGAGCAGCUGGACUCAACAUUGCCGGCUUCACUGCUGGCCACCUCCCAUCAUUGAAUGUAUUUGAUUCUCAAGGUGGCUGUUACAAAAUUUGAAACUGACAAGAAAAACUUGGUAGUAACUAGUAAAUAAAUAUUUUGUUGUAAUAAUCUUAUAUCACCUUCCAGAUCCC